UUGUUUACAUUCACAGAUGGUUAAGCAA
Molecule: small RNA, 28 nt
Filed under: Bombyx mori (domestic silkworm)
Lineage: Eukaryota; Metazoa; Arthropoda; Insecta; Lepidoptera; Bombycidae
Description: ovarian small RNA-38200
Source: RNAcentral